CCUACGGUGCAGCAGUGAGGAAUAUUGGUCAAUGGACGAGAGUCUGAACCAGCCAAGUAGCGUGAAGGAUGACUGCCCUAUGGGUUGUAAACUUCUUUUAUAUGGGAAUAAAACGUUCCACGUGUGGGAUUUUGUAUGUACCAUAUGAAUAAGGAUCGGCUAACUCCGUGCCAGCAGCCGCGGUAAUACGGAGGAUCCGAGCGUUAUCCGGAUUUAUUGGGUUUAAAGGGAGCGUAGGUGGAUUGUUAAGUCAGUUGUGAAAGUUUGCGGCUCAACCGUAAAAUUGCAGUUGAAACUGGCAGUCGUGAGUACAGUAGAGGUGGGCGGAAUUCGUGGUGUAGCGGUGAAAUGCUUAGAUAUCACGAAGAACUCCGAUUGCGAAGGCAGCCUACUAAACUGCCACUGACAUUGAUGCUCGAAAGUGUGGGUAUCAAACAGGAUUAGAUACCCGAGUAGUC
RNAcentral lists this ribosomal RNA (458 nucleotides) under uncultured bacterium. RNAcentral's name for it is "partial 16S ribosomal RNA". It matches the Rfam family "Bacterial small subunit ribosomal RNA", at positions 338 to 795 of the family's 1533-position model. The record is from RNAcentral.